Non-coding RNA from Sphaeramia orbicularis (orbiculate cardinalfish), 1011 nucleotides. NCBI's taxonomy places the organism in Eukaryota, Metazoa, Chordata, Actinopteri, Kurtiformes, Apogonidae. The record is from the annotation of a RefSeq genome assembly.
ACGAACACCUACAUGAUCAUCAAAUUAAAUAGAGGAAAACCCCCGGUACCACACACCCUUUUCUACACAUGAACAAACAGCAGAGCGAGAACCUGAGGGCUGUUUGGUGUCCACGCAGGGGCUGAUGGGAGGUGGGAGGGGCCAUUAGAAAGCAGGAGGCCCCAUUGCUUCGUCCUCCUCUUCAUCAGAUGCUGCUUCUCCAGGUUCACCAGAGGAAACGCCACAGAAUGCUUCUCCUGCUGCCGGCCGCUCUGUGCUGUCUGUGUUCAGCCCUGGUCACCAUGGCAACACAGCUGACCCAGGACAAGUUGUUCCUGAGCAGAGAAGUGGAUAAAUCGGGUUCAAUGAGCUGUGGUGGGACAGAGCAGUGUGAUGAUAAACAACUUUACUGGUUCCAGAAGAAAGACGGACAACCAUUCCAAAUCAUCAUCCAGUACAACUUAGAAAGUGAAAAAUCCACAAGUCGCAACAACCAUCCUGACAAAGACGACUUCAGCAUCUUGAAGACAGACAGUGGUAUUAAUCUGAUCAUAGCGAUAACAAAAGCUGCCCAUUCAGCCACCUACUACUGCGCCUGUUAUAAAGAAGUUCCCCACAGUGAGAAAGAACGCCGCUAACCUGAACAAAAACCUCCAGAUAUUCAACAGGAAGAAAAACCACAACCGCAUAUUUCUACUUCAUAUCAGAUGUACAUGCAGUGAUCUGAGAGCAGUUUGAAGAACUCAUGUCAACAUGGAGUUCACAGCCUCGAAAAUAAUCCCAAGACUAAACACACAAAGCCCUGACAGGGAAAUGACUGUGAGCGACGGGAAGAAAAGGAACGUCCAAAUGUGGACCACAGAGCAAACACAUAUUGCUGGUUCACAAUGAUCAGGUCAUCAAGUUCUCUUUAACAAAACAUACAAGAACCCACAAAUAGGAAAUGAGCUGUAGAAAUUAAAGAUAUGAGGCAGGGAUCUAAAACACAUUUUCUUUCAGGUUCCACAUUCAACCCAAUUUGAUCUCCAGUGG